ACUAAGAAUAUUAUGUUUUAGAAAUUAUAGUGGUUUAAAAAUAGUGAGACUCGAUUAUUUUAAUAUUAAAAGGUUUAAAUAUAAAUAGUUUUUUUUUAAACGAGUUUUAUUAUUUUUAAACACGUCGUCUCUAUAGAAAUCACUUUUCUAGAGUUUUCUGACUUCUCUCUAGGAGUUCUUCUUCUCUACUCAUCUGAUUGAAGAAUUGAAACCGUAUGAGUGAUCCUAGCGGUGAGNUCUUCAAUUCAGACUUAUCAGUUUCUCUGUUUGAGUAAGUUAAGUUUUGACACUUUUUCUCUGGUUUUUUCUUUCUUUUUUUGCAUGUGGGCCCGCUUAUUUAGCAUGUAAUGUCUGAGUCUUCUAUAAGACUAUUUGUUGAUCGUGUUUAUGUUGUCUAUAGGUACAUAUAGAGUUCCUUGAACUGUAUGAACAAAAUAGGGUUCUCAAGAGAGGUUAGUGUUCUAA
This 465-nucleotide long non-coding RNA is filed under the name Vigna radiata. RNAcentral's name for it is "long non-coding RNA (VRAD_LNC001991)". The record is from RNAcentral. Lineage: Eukaryota; Viridiplantae; Streptophyta; Magnoliopsida; Fabales; Fabaceae.